AGUGAACGCUGGCGGUAGGCCUAACACAUGCAAGUCGAACGGCAGCACAGUAAGAGCUUGCUCUUACGGGUGGCGAGUGGCGGACGGGUGAGGAAUACAUCGGAAUCUACUUUUUCGUGGGGGAUAACGUAGGGAAACUUACGCUAAUACCGCAUACGACCUACGGGUGAAAGCAGGGGAUCUUCGGACCUUGCGCGAUUGAAUGAGCCGAUGUCGGAUUAGCUAGUUGGCAGGGUAAAGGCCCACCAAGGUGACGAUCCGUAGCUGGUCUGAGAGGAUGAUCAGCCACACUGGAACUGAGACACGGUCCAGACUCCUACGGGAGGCAGCAGUGGGGAAUAUUGGACAAUGGGCGCAAGCCUGAUCCAGCCAUACCGCGUGGGUGAAGAAGGCCUUCGGGUUGUAAAGCCCUUUUGUUGGGAAAGAAAAGCAGCAGGUUAAUACCCCGCUGUUCUGACGGUACCCAAAGAAUAAGCACCGGCUAACUUCGUG
RNAcentral lists this ribosomal RNA (492 nucleotides) under uncultured bacterium. RNAcentral's name for it is "partial 16S ribosomal RNA". It matches the Rfam family "Bacterial small subunit ribosomal RNA", at positions 29 to 507 of the family's 1533-position model. The record is from RNAcentral.